CCUACGGGCGGCAGCAGUGAGGAAUAUUGGUCAAUGGACGAGAGUCUGAACCAGCCAAGUAGCGUGAAGGAUGACUGCCCUAUGGGUUGUAAACUUCUUUUAUAUGGGAAUAAAAUGUUCCACGUGUGGGAUUUUGUAUGUACCAUAUGAAUAAGGAACGGCUAACUCCGUGCCAGCAGCCGCGGUAAUACGGAGGAUCCGAGCGUUAUCCGGAUUUAUUGGGUGUAAAGGGAGCGUAGGUGGAGUGUUAAGUCAGUUGUGAAAGGUUGCGGCUCAACCGUAAAACUGCAGUUGAAACUGGCAGUCUGGAGUGCAGUAGAGGUAGGCGGAAUUCGUGGUGUAGCGGUGAAAUGCUUAGAUAUCACGAAGAACUCCGAUUGCGAAGGCAGUUCACUGGACUGCAACUGACGCUGAGGCUCGAAAGUGUGGGUAUCAAACAGGAUUAGAUACCCCUGUAGUC
RNAcentral lists this ribosomal RNA (460 nucleotides) under uncultured bacterium. RNAcentral describes it as "partial 16S ribosomal RNA". It matches the Rfam family "Bacterial small subunit ribosomal RNA", at positions 338 to 795 of the family's 1533-position model. The record is from RNAcentral.